RNAcentral lists this long non-coding RNA (484 nucleotides) under Olea europaea (common olive). Its description in RNAcentral is "long non-coding RNA (OEUR_LNC010799)". The record is from RNAcentral. Lineage: Eukaryota; Viridiplantae; Streptophyta; Magnoliopsida; Lamiales; Oleaceae.
AUUAUUGCUAAUUCAUCGCAACCAAUGACAGUGAACUUAGUCUUAUCAGAAAAGCUAAGAUGUGGUGGCAGAUUGAUCCAGGCAUUCCCUCCGGUAUAGUUGCCAUGUUGGUCAUAGCAACGGGACGCCAUCCAAUUCUUGAUUCACAAAUGAGAUUUCGAUAUAUCUAUAACCUCAAGAUUUGUCACAUGAAUGAAGGGCUUGGGAGGGUUGAAAGAAGUGUUGCUAUUGAUGUCAAACAAUGGAUUGAUGGAACAACCACUGCCUAAGCCAAUGCCAAAGGGGUGUCAAACAAUUAGAUUUUCCAUAUUUUCUCCGGGACCUCGGCUUGGUUAUGUUUUCUACUCUCGUUAUGGUUGUGGGAAUUUGGGUCGUGUUAUCAUUUUCAGAAGUGGCCAAUGCCAACAGAAGCCACAAGGAAUAGAACAUAAUGUAGAAGCAUGUUUAGUAUGAAAUUCGACUGAGUUCUUGUGUUGGACUUCAU